UACAUUUUCUUGCCACAAAUCGUUGCCACUUUUUUCUCUCAAGUUCCACUUCUCUUCUCUGUUUUAAGCUUAGUUGAAUUUUACUAUAUGUGAAAUUAUUAAAAACUGCGACUUUCAAUCAAGAACCCGUUCUAAAUUAUUUUCGAGCGGUUAUCGACCCGAUGUUGACCGAUCCGUAAAAAUUGCUACAAAAGUACUUGAAUCUAACCCUGGCAUGCCCCCCGCAGGCAGCACUGCCUAUAAUUUUAGCUAUAAUCGUACGCAAUAACUUUCGCUGAAAGAAGCGGCAUCACUGAGCGAGUAUCCUUUCUCUUUCUCCCUGAACUGAACUGUCAUUCAAAACGAAACAGAAUAUGGAUCGAGAUUCAAACUGUUGCUGAAGAUUUAAAAGUUAAAUGACAUUGGAAAGAUCAUCAGUCUUCAACUCAUUGGCACUGGACAUAGGACAAUCUUUCUCUAUCUCUAUAAUAAUGUCACUAUCUGUGAAUAUCAGGUAUCAUGUUCCAAACGCUGUCCCCCUCCAACGAGAGGAUCUCCAUUCUCCAGUGUACGUUUCCGAUCCUGUUAUUAGCCCCGUUCAUCAUCUCACCGACGAUGUCGAAUCAGUAAAAUCGUUACCGUGAGUGAAAAGGAAUUCAUUCUACUGGAAAAAAUCAAUCAUUCAUUUAGAACAUUCAACUUCAAACUGCGUCAGGAAGAUUCACUGGCCUCUGAAGGCUCAGACAAGCCGAUCGGCAGUUUUUUUACGUAGUCCAUGAAAGAACACAUUCCGAAACAGAAGCAGUUUUAGCUGUGCAGGUUGAGUGAUUUGGUUAACCAUUGAAUUGUAAAUUGUUAUGUUAACACUGGAAACAAAUUUUUAUUCUCACAAUGCCCAAUAUGAACAAUUAAUCAAUCUAAUAUCAGACUAUGUCAGCGAUUAAUCUGAUACAGGGAUAUAGCUUAGUGUAUAACAGCCACUGUGGGCGUUAGGAAUUAUUGAUCAUAAUAAGUAGUAAUGUAUUGUAAAAAUGUAGUACAUAU
Toxorhynchites rutilus septentrionalis is the source of this 1023-nucleotide long non-coding RNA. RefSeq lists it as uncharacterized. The record is from RefSeq and is a predicted model, not a curated record. The transcript is spliced from 3 exons. Lineage: Eukaryota; Metazoa; Arthropoda; Insecta; Diptera; Culicidae.